This 631-nucleotide ribosomal RNA is filed under the name uncultured fungus. RNAcentral describes it as "eukaryotic LSU rRNA". The stretch from base 228 to 381 matches the Rfam family "5.8S ribosomal RNA". Lineage: Eukaryota; Fungi. The record is from RNAcentral.
AGUAAAAGUCGUAACAAGGUCUCCGUUGGUGAACCAGCGGAGGGAUCAUUAAAGAGUUAUACAACUCCUAAACCCAUGUGAACAUACCUUACGUUGCCUCGGCAGGUCGCGCUUACCAUGUAGCGCCCUACCCUGUAGGGCCUACCCGGGAGGCGCGGGUAACCCUGCCGGCGGCCCACGAAACUCUGUUUACCAUUGAAUUCUGAGAUUAUAACGAAAUACGUUAAAACUUUCAACAACGGAUCUCUUGGUUCUGGCAUCGAUGGAGAACGCAGCGAAAUGCGAUAAGUAAUGUGAAUUGCAGAAUUCAGUGAAUCAUCGAAUCUUUGAACGCACAUUGCGCCCAUUAGUAUUCUAGUGGGCAUGCCUGUUCGAGCGUCAUUUCAACCCUUAAGCCCCCGUUGCUUAGCGUUGGGAGCCUACGGCACUGUAGCUCCCCAAAGUUAGUGGCAGAGUCGGUUCACACUCUAGACGUAGUAAAUUUUCACCUCGCCUGUAGUUGGACCGGUCCCUCGCCGUAAAACACCCUAAUUUUUACAAGGUUGACCUCGGAUCAGGUAGGAAUACCCGCUGAACUUAAGCAUAUCAAUAAGCGGAGGAAAAGAAACCAACAGGGAUUGCCCCAGUAACG